GACGAACGCUGGCGGCGUGGAUUAGGCAUGCAAGUCGAACGGUAUCAUCCUUUCGGGGGUGAGAGAGUGGCGAACUGGUGAGUAACACGUAGGUUAUCUACCCUCAAGACGGGGACAACCCAGGGAAACUUGGGCUAAUACCGGAUGUGAGCAACUUUUAGUUGUUUGAAAGGUGGCGUAAGCUGUCGCUUGGGGAUGAGCCUGCGUCCUAUUAGUUAGUUGGUGAGGUAACGGCUCACCUAGGCAAUGAUAGGUAGGCGGCCUUAACGGGUGGUCGCCCACACUGGGAUUGAGAUACGGCCCAGACUCCUACGGGAGGCAGCAGUCGAGAAUAGUCUACAAUGGUCGGAAGACUGAUAGUGCGACGCCGCGUGAACGAUGAAUCCCUUCGGGGUGUAAAGUUCUUUUAUAUGUGAGCAGUGCUUCUUAUAUUAACAGUUAUGGGGAAGAGAUAUUAGCAUAUGAAUAAGCAACGGCUAACUCCGUGCCAGCAGCCGACGGUAAAA
RNAcentral lists this ribosomal RNA (506 nucleotides) under uncultured bacterium. RNAcentral describes it as "bacterial SSU rRNA". It matches the Rfam family "Bacterial small subunit ribosomal RNA", at positions 28 to 525 of the family's 1533-position model. The record is from RNAcentral.